AUACGGAGGGUGCAAGCGUUAUCCGGAAUCAUUAGGUUUAAAGGGUCCGUAGGCGGGCUAAUAAGUCAGGGGUGAAAUCCCACAGCUUAACUGUGGAACUGCCCUUGAUACUGUUGGUCUUGAGUUACAGUGAAGUGGUUAGAAUGUGUAGUGUAGCGGUGAAAUGCAUAGAGAUUACACAGAAUACCGAUUGCGAAGGCAGAUCGCUAACUGUAUACUGACGCUAAUGGACGAAAGCGUGGGGAGCGAACAGGAUUAGAAACCCCGGUAGUCC
Molecule: ribosomal RNA, 274 nt
Filed under: uncultured bacterium
Lineage: Bacteria
Description: partial 16S ribosomal RNA
Rfam family: Bacterial small subunit ribosomal RNA
Source: RNAcentral